GGGUUGUGAGGUUAAGCGACUAAGCGUACACGGUGGAUGCCCUGGCAGUCAGAGGCGAUGAAGGACGUGCUAAUCUGCGAUAAGCGUCGGUAAGGUGAUAUGAACCGUUAUAACCGGCGAUUUCCGAAUGGGGAAACCCAGUGUGUUUCGACACACUAUCAUUAACUGAAUCCAUAGGUUAAUGAGGCGAACCGGGGGAACUGAAACAUCUAAGUACCCCGAGGAAAAGAAAUCAACCGAGAUUCCCCCAGUAGCGGCGAGCGAACGGGGAGCAGCCCAGAGCCUGAAUCAGUGUGUGUGUUAGUGGAAGCGUCUGGAAAGGCGCGCGAUACAGGGUGACAGCCCCGUACACAAAAAUGCACAUACUGUGAGCUCGAUGAGUAGGGCGGGACACGUGGUAUCCUGUCUGAAUAUGGGGGGACCAUCCUCCAAGGCUAAAUACUCCUGACUGACCGAUAGUGAACCAGUACCGUGAGGGAAAGGCGAAAAGAACCCCGGCGAGGGGAGUGAAAAAGAACCUGAAACCGUGUACGUACAAGCAGUGGGAGCACGCUUCGGCGUGUGACUGCGUACCUUUUGUAUAAUGGGUCAGCGACUUAUAUUCUGUAGCAAGGUUAACCGAAUAGGGGAGCCGAAGGGAAACCGAGUCUUAACUGGGCGUUAAGUUGCAGGGUAUAGACCCGAA
RNAcentral lists this ribosomal RNA (685 nucleotides) under Escherichia coli. Its description in RNAcentral is "partial 23S ribosomal RNA". It matches the Rfam family "Bacterial large subunit ribosomal RNA", at positions 1 to 719 of the family's 2925-position model. The record is from RNAcentral. Lineage: Bacteria; Pseudomonadati; Pseudomonadota; Gammaproteobacteria; Enterobacterales; Enterobacteriaceae.